RNAcentral lists this transfer RNA (85 nucleotides) under Nitrososphaerota archaeon. RNAcentral's name for it is "Thaumarchaeota archaeon tRNA-Ser". It matches the Rfam family "tRNA". From Rfam's summary of the family: Transfer RNA (tRNA) molecules are approximately 80 nucleotides in length. Their secondary structure includes four short double-helical elements and three loops (D, anti-codon, and T loops). Lineage: Archaea; Thermoproteati; Nitrososphaerota. The record is from RNAcentral.
GCCGGGGUAGCGCAGCCUGGUAACGCGCGGGCCUUGAGAGCCCGUGACCCUCUGGGUCUCAGGGGUUCGAAUCCCCUUCCCGGCG